Molecule: ribosomal RNA, 466 nt
Filed under: uncultured bacterium
Lineage: Bacteria
Description: partial 16S ribosomal RNA
Rfam family: Bacterial small subunit ribosomal RNA
Source: RNAcentral
GAUGAACGCUGGCGGCGUGCUUAACACAUGCAAGUCGAACGGAAAGGCUCCUGCUUGCAGGGGUACUCGAGUGGCGAACGGGUGAGUAACACGUGGGUGAUCUGCCCUGCACUUCGGGAUAAGCCUGGGAAACUGGGUCUAAUACCGGAUAGGACGAUGGUUUGGAUGCCAUUGUGGAAAGUUUUUUCGGUGUGGGAUGAGCUCGCGGCCUAUCAGCUUGUUGGUGGGGUAAUGGCCUACCAAGGCGUCGACGGGUAGCCGGCCUGAGAGGGUGUACGGCCACAUUGGGACUGAGAUACGGCCCAGACUCCUACGGGAGGCAGCAGUGGGGAAUAUUGCAUAAUGGGCGCAAGCCUGAUGCAGCGACGCCGCGUGGGGGAUGACGGCCUUCGGGUUGUAAACUCCUUUCGCUAGGGACGAAGCGCAAGUGACGGUACCUGGAGAAGAAGCACCGGCUAACUACGUG